GGAGAUGUAGCUCAGUGGUAGAGUACUUGCCUAACAUGCAAAAGGCCCUGAGUUCAAUCCUCAGUACUA
Molecule: transfer RNA, 69 nt
Filed under: Ictidomys tridecemlineatus (thirteen-lined ground squirrel)
Lineage: Eukaryota; Metazoa; Chordata; Mammalia; Rodentia; Sciuridae
Also listed under: 1 other name
Description: Spermophilus tridecemlineatus (thirteen-lined ground squirrel) tRNA
Rfam family: tRNA
About the family: Transfer RNA (tRNA) molecules are approximately 80 nucleotides in length.
Source: Rfam by way of RNAcentral